GACGAACGCUGGCGGCGUGCUUAACACAUGCAAGUCGAACGAUGAAGCUGGAGCUUGCUCCGGUGGAUUAGCGGCGAACGGGUGAGGAACACGUGAGGAAUCUGCCUUCCACUCUGGGAUAACUCCGGGAAACCGGGGCUAAUACCGGAUACUUUCAACUGGCGGCAUCGCCGGUUGAAGAAAGUUUUUCGGUGGAAGAUGACCUCGCGGCCUAUCAGCUUGUUGGUGAGGUAAAGGCUCACCAAGGCGACGACGGGUAGCCGGCCUGAGAGGGCGACCGGCCACACUGGGACUGAGACACGGCCCAGACUCCUACGGGAGGCAGCAGUGGGGAAUAUUGGGCAAUGGAGGAAACUCUGACCCAGCGACGCCGCGUGAGGGAUGAAGGCCUUCGGGUUGUAAACCUCUUUCAGCAGGGAAUAAGCGAAAGUGAAGGUACCUGCAGAAGAAGCACCGGCUAACUAUGUGCCAGCCGCCGCGGUAA
This 484-nucleotide ribosomal RNA is filed under the name uncultured bacterium. RNAcentral describes it as "partial 16S ribosomal RNA". It matches the Rfam family "Bacterial small subunit ribosomal RNA", at positions 28 to 523 of the family's 1533-position model. The record is from RNAcentral.